Long non-coding RNA from Hypanus sabinus (Atlantic stingray), 16466 nucleotides. RefSeq lists it as uncharacterized. The transcript has 2 exons. Lineage: Eukaryota; Metazoa; Chordata; Chondrichthyes; Myliobatiformes; Dasyatidae. The record is from RefSeq and is a predicted model, not a curated record.
CUUUGAUAAGUUGGCGCCUUUUUGGUUUUUCUCCCUUGCAUAUAUAUUGUAUUGCCUAAUACUCUUUUAAUUUUAGUAAACUCUUUAAAGUGUAUUUCAUAACGGUAUUUGUUGUGGGUUUGAUACUGUGGGCGGGCGCGAGGCAUAAACUCGGUUCUCACAGCCCCUGCGUGUACGGGCGGUGGGAUUGGUGUGUGGCUGGAUCUCCUUUUCCCCUAGACAUAUACCAGCCUGUUGGGUAAGUGUUACAUUUGGUUCUCUAUCAAGCACCUACGCUCAUUUAAGAACAUUUGUUUAGAUUUAUAACGAAUAGUGCAAAUCCUAUUCUAAUAGGAGAAAUGGGAGAAACAGUGCAAUAAAAAAUUAAGAACAACUUGAUCCAUUGCCUUAAGGAUCAAUUAUGGCAGUUAUUCCUGUUGGUAUCUAGGUGUAGUGGAAAAACACCUUGAUUGAAUUUUAAAUUUGAUUCCUAGUUUUCAGUCUUAAUUCCUUGCACUUAUUUAAUGCUUCUGAUUAUUUUGGAUAAGUGCUCUUUAUUUGUUUUUUUAACUUCUUUUAUUUCUCUGUAUGUUUUCUGUUACUAAUCUGUGGAUGGAAAAAGACCUGUAUUUUUAACAUGGGUCACUCAAAUGUGUCACACAACCAAAUGAAAUACUUCCAAAAUACAGCUGCCACUUUUGAAAACAGCAACUAAUUUCUAUGAACAAGCUUUCACAAACAUCAAAGAGUGAUGAAGUUUUUUCAAAGGUUGGUGAUGAAAAAUAUCAACUCCUGCCCGAGAAGCAACUUAGAUCUGCUCCAAUUUGCCUACUGGAGCAACAGGUCCACAAUUGAUGUAAUCUUAUUGGCUCUUCACUCAACCCUGGACAGGACAGGAAAGAUGCGUAUAUCAAGAUGUUCUUUAUCGACAACAGCUCUGCAUUCAACACCAUCAUCCCUUCAAAACUAAUUAAUAAUCUCCAAGAUUUUGACCUUGGUACCUCCUCGUGCAAUUGGAUUCUGGAUUUCCUCACUUGCAGACCCCAGUCAGUUUGGAUUGCCAACAACAUCCCCUCUGCUUCCUCCAUCAACACAACUGUACCACAAGGUUGUGUGCUUAGUCCCCUGCUCAACUCGCUUUACACUUAUGACUGUAUGGCUAAGCAUAGUUCCAGAGUCAUAUUCAAGUUUGCUGAUGACACCUCUGUCAUGGGCCGAAUCAAAGGUGGAGAUGAAUCAGCAUAUAGGAGGGAGAUUUAAGAUCUGGCUGAGUGGUGCCACGUGACAUCUCACUGAAUGUUAGCAAGACCAAGGAACUUAUUGUAGACUUUAGGAGAAGGAAACUAGAGGUCCAUGAGCCAAUCCUCAUCGGAGGAUCAGAGCUGGAGAGGCUUAGCAACUUUAAAUUCCCAGUUGUUGUUAUUUCACACCUGGGCUCAGCACAUAAAUGCAAUUAUGAAGAAAGCAUGCCAGUGCCUGUACUUCCUUAGGAGUUUGUGGAGAUUCAGCAUGACAUCUAAAACUUUGACAAACUUUUACAGAUGUGUAGUGGAGAAUAUGUUGCUUGGCUGCGUCACAGCCUGGUGUGGAAACACCAAUGUCCUUGAACAGAAAAUCCUUCAAAUCUUAUUGGAUAUGACCCAGCCCAUCAUAAGUAAAGCCAUCCUAACCAUUGAGCACAUCUACAUGAAACACAGUUGUAGGAAAUCAGCAUCCAUAAUCAGGGAAGCCACUACCCAAGACAUGCUCUCUCCUCGUUACUGUGAUCAGGAAGAAGGUUCAAGAGCCUCAGAAUGUGCACUACCAGGUUCAGGAAUAGUUACUACCCCUCAACCAUCAAGCUCCUGAAUCAAAGGAGAUAACUUCACUUGCCCUAUCUUUGAAAUUUUCCCACAACCAAUGCACUCAUUUUCAAGGACUCUUCAUCUCAAGUUCUCAAUAUUUAUUUAUUAUUAUUAUUUCUUCCCUUUGGAUUUGCAGUUUGUCGUCUUGUACACUCUGAUUGGACAGUUUUUCAUAGAUUCUAUUAUAGUUAUUAUGCUACAGAUUUGUUGAGUAUGCCCAGGAGAAAAUGAAUCUCAGGGCUGUGUAUGGUGACAUAUAUCUACUUAGAUAAUAAAAUUUACUUUGAACUUUAUUUCUCUUGCUCAAUACCCAAGUAUACAUAUUACAGUUCUAAAAUUGUAAGCUAAUGGGACCAGCUUGUCCUUCCCUGUCUAAGAUAAACAAAUACAGAAUCUGCAAGCAUUUCUGCUUCUUCAAGGUUCAGAUCAUCACAGGGAGUGCAUUCAUGUGGUGUUUCAGAUGACCUUUCAGAACCUGGAGUUCUUAAUGAGUUGCAAACAUUUCUAAGCGCUCAGUGUUCAGAUGAUGACCAACCAUGAUAGAAACUUCUUAACACAAGAUAUCUUGUAAUUCUGCUUGAGACUUAAGGAAACAAUUCCCCACUGGAAAUCCAUCUUGUAGGGAAGUUAAGGAAAAUGGCUAUAUGGGAUUGUACGGGAGAAACGGGUUAAGGACAACAUAAGAUUGGAGGAAAAAGAAUUAAAAGGGCAUAAGUAAGGAACUAUCACGAAACACGUGUGUAUACUGCUUUUGAUAGUUAGUGGAAGAAAACCACAGUGAUCAGCUCUCUGGCACCAAGUCUGACUCUGGCUCAGAGGGAAGGUGGGGGGAGGAGUGCAGUAAUGAUAAGGGAUUCCAUAGUUAGAGGAGCAGACAGGAGAUUCUGUGUAUGUGAGACACCCAGCUGGUAUGUUGUCUUCCAGGUGUUAGGGUCAGGGAUGUUUUUGUUCAGGUUCACAGCAUUCUAAAGGGGGAGAGUGGUACAUAUUGGACUAAUAAAAUGGGUAGAAAAUAAGAGGAGAAUAUAGGGAGUUGGGUCAAAAGCUGAAAAGCAGGAUCUCCAGAGUAGUAAUCUCUGGAUUGCUGUCUGACACACACCAGUGAGGGUAAGAGUAAGAUGAUUUGGGAUAUGAAUGCAUGGCUGAAGAAUUAGUGCAGAAGGCAGGGUUUCAGAUUUCUGGAUCAUUGGGAUCUCUUCUGGGGAGCGUAUGACAUAUACAAACAAGGACAGAUUACAGCUGAACCCAAAGGGGAAUAAUAUCCUUACAGGCAGGUUUGCUAGCGCUGUUGAGAGGGUUUAAACUAAUUUGGCAGGGUGAUGGGAACUAGAACAAUUGAGCUGAGGAUGGGGCAGUUGGUAUACAAGUAGAUGCAGUGCAUAGUGAGACUGUGAGGAAGGACAGGCAGAUGAUAGGGCAAGAUUGCAGUCAGUGGGAUGAGUUAAAAGUGUAACAUGGGAGCAAAAUAUAAAAAGGUGAUGAAUACAGGGCUGAAGGUGCUAUAUUUGAAUGCAUGUACUAUACAGAAUAAGAUAGGUGAUCUAGUAGUGCAAAUAGAUGUGGGCAGGUAUGAAGUAAGUAUCACUGAGUCAUGGCUGAAAGAGAUCAUAGUUGGGAGCUUGAAUCCAAGGAUACACAUUGUAUCAAAAGACCAGGCAGGUAGGAAAAGGGGUUGGGGUGGCUCUGUUGGUAAAAAAUGAUAACAAUUCCUUAGAAAGAGGUCAUAUAGGAUCAGAAGCUGUAGAAUUCUUGUGGGUAGUUAAGAAAUUGCAAGGGUGAAAAGAUGAUGAUGGGAGUUAUAUACAGGCCUCCAAACAGUAGCCAGGAUGUAGGAUACAAAUUUAAUAAGUAUUUUGCAUCAGUAUUCACUGUGUAAGACACCAGCAAUAUGCCAGAAAUUCAGGAGUGUUUGGGUGGGGGGGGGAGAGGGGCAGAUGUAAGUGUAGUUGCCAGUAGUAAGGGAAGUUGCUAGGAAGCUGAAAGUACAUAAGUCACCUGGGCCAAAUGGACUACACCCCAGAGUGCUGAAAGAGGAUAGCUGAAGCAAUUGUGGAGACAUGAACAGAAGAUUCGCUAACUGGCAGGAGGCAAAGAGUGGGAAUAAAGGGAUCUCUUCUGGUUGGCUGCUGAUAACUAGUGGCAUUCAGAAGAGGUCAGUGUUAAGAACACUUCUUCUCACAGUAUAUGUCAACAAUCUGGAUGAUGGAAUUGAUGGCUUUGUGGCCAAGUUUGCAGAUAAUAUAAAGAUAGGUGGAGGGGCAGGUAGUGUUGAGGAAGCAGGGUGUCUUCAGAAGGAUACAGACAGAUUGGGAGAAUGGGAAGGUAAGUGGCAGAUGGAAUGUAGUGUAAGGGAAGUGCGCAGUACUGUUACAUAGUUCGGUAGAAGGAAUAAAGGUGUAGACUAUUUACUGAACAGAAAAAAAAUGAAAAAUCCAAGGUGCAAAGUGAUUUGGGAGCUCAUGUGCAGGGCACUGUCUUUGCUUGAUGUUUCAUGACCGUAACAACAAUAAUAAGUACUCUAUUGAUCCAGAGUGGGAAAUUAUUUUGUUACAGCUGCAACAUGUAAAAACCCACUUAACAAUAAUAAUAGUAACAAAUAUAUUAACUAAAGUACAGAAUAACAAUACGGUAUACACAAUGUGCAAUAAUGUAUGAAAUAAUGAAAGAGACUACUGUACUAUGAUGUGUGUCCUCCUGUCACAAAGAGAACUGUUGAUGUACAUGCUUAUUGCAUUUUGUAGGAAAGAUCUUCUGUAAUAAUCCUUGUGACAGCAGAGCUGAAUGAGCCUGUUGAAAGGAUGCUCCACUGCUUAUUCAGUAGGUCAUGGAGAGAAGGUGCCUGAUUACCCAUAACAGUUUGUUCAGUGACCUCCUCUCUAUCACUAACUCAAAAGAGUCCGAGUUGUAGCCAAAGACAGAUCCAGCAUUUUUGAUGUGUUGAUUUAGUCUUACUGCAUCACCAGCAACAAUGCAGAUCCCCCAAAAUAAAAACCACAAAGAAGACUGCACUUGCUACAACAGACUGGUAAAAGAUCUCCAAUAUCCUGCUGCACACAUUGAAGGAUCUCCUCAGCUUCCUUAGAAAAUACAGUCUGCUCAUCCCCUUCUUGUAAACAGGCUUGGUAUUGGUUUUCCAGUCAAGCCUGUUGUCAAGGUGAACAUCCAAGUAUUUGUACUCCACCACCACCACCUUCUCCCCGAAUGUAUAGAGGACUUGUCACAGUCCUCUUCCUUCUAAAAUCAAUCACCACCUCCCUGGUUUUGGCAACAUUCAGGAGCAGGUGAUUCCUUCUGCACCACUUCUCAAACUUGUCCACAAGUCCUCUGUACACCGACUCUUGCCCAUCUCUGAUACAGCCAACCACCGCAGUCAUCAGAGAACUUCUGCAAGUGGCAAGACUCAGAAAGUCUGAGGUGUAUAGUGUGAACAGAAACAGAGACAGGACUGUCCCUUGUGGUGCUCCAAUGCCACUCACCACCAUCUCAGACUGAGAACUACCCAGCCAUUCAAACUGGGGUCUAUCUGUCAGGUAGUCAGUAAUCCAGGAGAUAGUGGAUUUGUCUACACCCAUCCUUUGCAGCUUCUCACUCAGUAGUGGCUGGAUUGUACUGAAUGCACUAGAGAAAUCAAAAUGAUUCUCACAAUGCCACCAGCAUCAUCCAGGUGGGAGUAAGCUUUCUGCAAUAGGUAGACAAUGGCAUCAUCCACUCCCACAUGGGGUUGGUAUGCAAACUGUAGAAGGUCCAAUGAAGAUCUCACCUGUGGUCCAAGGCAAGUCAGGACCAGCCUUUCCAGCACCUUCAUCACGAGGUGUGAGGGCAAUUGGUCUGCAGUCAUUAAGUUCAGAUGGAGUCACCUUCUUGGGUACAGGAACCAAGCAGGAAGACUUCCAUAGCACUAGUAUGCUAUGAUUCAGUUUCAGAUUACAGAGGUGUUGCAAAAUACAAGGCAGCUGGCUCGCACAGUCGUUCUGUACCCUGGGGCUGAUACUGUCCAGUCCAGCAGGCCUGCCUUGAUGUAGACUCUCCAGCUGUCUCUUAACCUGACCUGCAGUCACAGUCAGGCGAGGGAGGGUGGUCAUCCCCAUGAAGGCAGGAUACUCCAAAGUUGGGUUUGGAGCACAAGCACUCACCACACACAUUGCUGUUUUGCCAAAUACCUUAUAAAUAAAGCAGGUUAUGAUGUGCUAGUUAGCUAUUGCCUAAGAUGUGGUGACAUUCAAGUGCAGUUGCUGUCACCGAUAUGGAUCAGUAUCAAAUCAUUUGAGCUAGCUACUUAAAUUAUUUUCCCCAUAAAAACCAACAUUAUCAUUUUCCAAACAGAAAAUAUUGUUACAAGGUGUGUGUUACACAAAUCCCUUUAAGGGCUAGAAUCACAACCUCAAACUCAUAGAUAAAAGGUGGCAGCAGCAAGAAAUUACUCAGGAUGUUUCUCAGGCAACUAUUUGCCAAAUAAAAGGGGAGGAGAAUGGGAAUGCCUGCAUGAUUCUAUUGCAGUAAGAUCGUCAUCCAAUGGCGGCAUUCAAAAACAGCAUUGAGCUCCCCAACUUCUGAGCAAAUUGACUUCUCAGUCAGUAUUAUUUAAAAUAACAGAAUGACUUGGAUAAAAGAUUGACUAGCACCCCUAGAAAAUUUCAGAACUUUCUAUCAAUUACUCAGCCAACUGAAUUUUGCAACAGUAACCUUUUUCCCAAGUAGAUAAAGAUCACUGACACAUUUUUUUUAAUAGGGUACUUGUAAAUAGCAAUCUGUGUGACGUGUCUUCACCAUUAUAAAUACCUCCUGUACUCAGUCAAGUCAAUCAGUGUGCUUAGUUCCUUCCUCUGACAGUUUGUUCCUUGAAAGCUGCUUGGAGUCCCAUCCUGUAUAGCAAUCAACAUCUGACUAGACUCUUUUCUUUCUUUUUCAAUAUUUUUAUUGACUACUUGCAUAAAUGAAUACAAAUACAUUAUAUUAUGAAAACAGAAGUUGAAAUGCCCCGUAUCUAUGUAUAGUAAAUUAAAUGUAAUAUUGAAAAGCUACAUUUUAUUCUAAUCUAAAACAAAAUCAAAACCCCAUAACAAAAAGGAGAAAAAAAACAGCUGUUUGUGGUUUUAAAAGGAAAAAAUCCUGAACAAAAUCAUAAAUUCAAACUUACAAUAGCCAUCAUCAUUGCUGAACAAGUCAAAGAUUGUGAAGUAGUUCCAAAAAGGCCACCAUAAUGUGAAAAAAAAUCGUUUUUUUCUUAAAAUUAUUUUUAUUAAAUUUUAGAAAAUUACAAGAAUAAAUGUGAUGAUAAAAUAGUAAGAAAAAUAAUAUUAACCCUCCCCCCCUUAACCCUUAUCUAAAAAAAAGAAAGGAGAGAAAGAUUGCCUGGAUAUCGGAGGAUCCCUCAUGCUCCAUGGAGUUCAAAAUAAUUUUAAUAUUUAUUUUUUCUUUCCCCAAUUACUUUAUAAUUUUAUCUUCAAAGGACCUAUGUAUUUAAUCCUAUCUUUUGUAAGUAUGGGAACCAAAUUUUCAAAAAUAUAUCAUAUUCAUUUCUUAGAUUGUAUGUAAUUUUUUCAAGUGGAAUACAACUAUGUAUUUCAUUAUUCCAACGAUCCAUAGUUAAAUAUAAGUCAGAUUUCCAAGUAACUGCAAUAACUUUAUUGGCUACUGCCAAUGCAAUUUUUAUAAAUUUUUUCUGAUACUUAUUCAAUUUAAGUUUCGGUAUUAUCCCUUCAAUGUCUCCUAAUAAAAAUAAUACUGGACUAUGUGGAAGUUGUACUCCAGUAAUUUGUUCCAAUAAAAGUCUUAGAUUUAUCCAAAAUGGUUGAAUUUUAAAACAAGACCAAGUAGAAUGUAAAAAAGUACCAAUUUCUUGAUUACAUCGAAAACAUUGGUCAGACGUAUUUGAAUUUAAUCUAUUUAUUUUCUGUGGUUAUAUAUAGUUGAUGUAAAAAAUUAUAUUGUAUUAAUCCAAGUCGAACAUUUAUUGUAUUUCUCAUACUAUCAGAACAUAAUCUUGACCAAUUUUUUCCAUCAAUUUUAACAUUCAAAUCAGAUUCCCAUUUUUGUCUUGAUUUAUGAAUUCCUAAUUUAAUUGUCUGUUUUUGAAUCAAAUUAUACAUACAAGAUAUAAUUUUUUAAAUUUUUCCUUUCUGAAUUAAUAUUUCAAUUUCACUAGAUUUUGGCAUCAACAUUGUUUGACCCAGCUUUUCUUGUAAAUAAGCUUUUAAUUGAAAAUAACAAAAAAGAGUAUUACUUGAUAUUUCAUAUUUAUUUUUUAAUUGAUCAAACGACAUCAAUAUACCUCCUUCAAAACAAUCACCUAUAUAUUUAAUCCCCUUUUGGAACCAGUUAUGUAAAUGUUUAUUAUCCAUUGUAAAAUGAAUAAGCCUAUUUUGAAUUAAAGUUCUUUUUGCUAGUAGAUUUCUUUAUCUUAUCAUCCAUAUUUACCUUAUUCCAUAAAUCAAUCAAGUGUUUUAAUAUAGGAGAUUCGUCUUUUUCCCAUAUCCAUUUGGAUUCCCAUUUAUAUAUAAAAUCUUCUGGUAUGUUUUCUCCUAUCUUAUCUAAUUCUAUUCUAAUCCAUGCCAGUUUUUCUUCAUCAAAAAAAGACGCAAUAAAUCUAAGUUGAUUUGCUUUUUAAUAAUUCUUAAAAUUUGGAAGUUGUAACCCUCUUAAAUCAAAUUUACAUGUCAAUUUUUCCAAUGAUAUUCUUGACAUCUUUCCUUUCCAAAGAAAUUUCCUUACAUAUUUAUUCAAUUCUUGAAAAAACUUCUGAGGUAAUUGUAUUGGUAAAGUUUGAAAUAAAUAUUGCAAUCUAGGAAAUAUAUUCAUUUUUACAGCAUUAACUCUACCUAUUAAUGUUAUUGGUAACAUCAUCCAUUUAUCAAGAUCCUCUUUUAUUUUUUUUAAUAAUGGCAAAUAAUUUAGUUUAUAUAAAUUUUUUACAUCAUUAUCAACUCUAAUACCUAAAUAUUUUAUCCCAUUUAUUGACCAUCAAAAUUGAGUUACUAAUCGACAUUGGUUAUAAUUUCCUUUAGUAAGGGGUAAAAUUUCACUUUUAUCCCAAUUUACUUUAUACCCUGAUACAUUCCCAUAUUCUUCCAAUCUAAAAGAUAAUCUUUGCAAAGAUUGCAAUGGAUUUGUUAAAUAAAUCAAAACAUCAUCAGCAAAUAAAUUAAUCUUAUAUUCUUCUUGAUUAACUCGAAAGCCCCCUAUGUCUGAAUCUGUUCUAAUUAAUUCAGCUAAUGGUUCUAUUGCCAAUACAAAUAAAGCAGGUGAUAAUGGGCAGCCUUGUCAAGUUGACUUCGUUAAGCAAAAUGGUGUUGAAAUCUGACCAUUUGUAACUACUUUAGCUUGAGGAUUAGUAUUUAAAGUUUUAAUCCAUUGUAUAAAAGAUUUCCCUCAUAUUUUUCCAAUACCUUAAAUAAAAAAUCCCAUUCCAAUCUAUCAAAUGCUUUUUCUGCAUCCAAAGCAACUGCCACACUCAUUUCCUCUCUUUUUUGUGCCAAAUGAAUUAUAUUAAGUAACCGGGUUAUAUUACCCAUUGAUUGUCUGUUUUUAAUAAAACCUGUUUGAUCCAUAUGUAUUAAUUUUGGUAAAUAUUUAGAUAUUCUAUUAGAUAACAUUUUUGCUAGUAUUUUAUAAUCUGUAUUCAACAAAGAAAUAGGCCUAUAUGAUGGUUUUAAAGGAUCUCUAUCUUUUUUUGGCAAUACAGUUAUGAUCACUGUUAAAAAAGAUUGUGGAAGUUUAUGCAUUCUUUCCACUUGGUAUAUUAAUUCCAUAAAAGGAGGAAUUAAUAAAUCUUUAACUUUUUUAUAAAAUUCAGGAGGAAAACCAUCUUCUCCUGGGGAUUUAUUACUCUGAAGUGAUCCUAAAGCUUCUUCAACCUCUUUUAAUGUAGAGGGCAUAUCUAAUCCUUUCUGUUCUUCCAAAUUUAAUUUUGGAAGGGUUAUUUGUGAUAGAAAUUUAUCUAUCUCAGCAAUCUUAUUUUGUGAUUCUGAUUGAUAUAGUUCAGUAUAAAAAAUUUUUAAAGUUUCAUUAAUUUCUAAAGGUUUAUAAGUAACCUUAUUUACACUUGUUCUAAUUGCAUUUAUUGUUUUAGAAGCCUGUUCUGUUUUCAACUAACAAGCAAGAAUUUUAUGUGAUCUUUCACCUAAUUCGUAAUAUUUCUGUUUAGUUCUCAUAAUUACUUUUUCUGUACGAUAUGUCUGGAGUGUAUUAUAUUGUAGUUUUUUAUUAACAAUUUGUCUUCGUUUUUCUUCUGUCGUAUAUCUUUGAGAUUCUUUUUCUAACUUUAUGAUAUCUUUUUCCAAUUGAUCUAUUUCUGCUGCGUAUUCCUUCUUAAUUUUAGAUGUAUAACUUAUAAUCUGACCCCUUAAAUAUGCUUUCAUCGCUUCCCAUGAUACAAUUUUAUCCUCAACUGAAUGUAAAUUUGUAUCCAAAAAAAAUUGAAUUUGUUUUUUCAUAAAAUCACAAAAAUGUUGACGUUUUAAUAAAAUUGAAUUAAAUCUCCAUCUAUAGAUCGAUUCCUCCUUAUCUGUCAUUAUCAUUGUCAUUAUCAAUAUCAAGGGGGAAUGAUCUGACAAUAUUCUUGCUUUAUAUUCCACACCUUUCACUCUAUCUUGAAUAUUUUUUGAUAAUAAAAAAAAAUCAAUCCUUGAGUAAGUUUUAUGUCUAUUUGAAUAAAAUGAAUAAUCUUUCUCUUGGAUUAAUUUUUCUCCAUAUAUCAAUCAAAUUUAAAUCUUUCAUUAAUGAUGAAGUUAGUUUUAUUACUUUCGCAAGAUCACUUGUUGGGUUGGGAAGAGACGUGCAGGCUGGCUCGUUUCCCCGGCGGUGUAAAGCUACCGGACAUGGCCAUUGUCUCUUGGAGACCAAUUUGUGGAUUGAGCUACUAUACUAUGUGAACACCCUCAGGCAAAGUGGGCUGGUUGAGGGAGAGAGUGCGCACCCCCAACCUGAUUGACAUCUGAGACCCUGUGAGGAAGUAUAAAAGAGGGUCUGGGGAACAACCCCUUCAGACGCACCAGAAGAAACGUUAAGCGACCACGUAACAGCAGGAAGUCAUCUAAAGGAAGCCACGUGCGUUCGAUUCCGUGGCUGGAAUUGGUGGCUGGAACCAUGGGAAAACAGCUUUUAGCUAACAACGGGGAAGCCCGCUCCCCUGACUCAACGGAUCGGCAUCUUAAAAGACCUGGGGCAAGUUUAAACCACAUCACUUUUAAACCCAACAGCGCUGCAGCUUGAACGACCUGAUAGUGACUGUUAUCUUUCCGUCGGACAAUACAUUAACCCCUAGACAACGAUAGAGCUAUUUCUUAUUGGUUAUUAUUAUACCCACACUUAGAUUUAGUAUUGACGACGUAUAUUAUCUGUAUGUUUGCAUUAAUCUUAUUUUUGUGCCCGUUAUCAAUAAAUACUUUAAAAAAUUGUACCAUCAGACUUCAACAAACCUCUCUAUCUUUGCUGGUAAGUGAUCCAGUUACGGGAAUUUGUAACACUUGUGAAAAAGCUAUAUCUCCUUUCAUUUUCUUAAUAUAUGUUAAAACUCUUUUUUCUUUUCACAGGUCCAUUAAUUCCAUUAACAUUAAAACUUUAAAAAUUGAGUAAAUUAAUCAUUCAUAAUACUUUGGGAACUCUUUAAAUUUCUCCAUGUUGCUAUGAGUCUCUCCCCAACCAUCCAGGCAAAAAAGAAGAAAAAUAGAAGAAAGAUGACUAAUAUAUAAGGAACCCCCCCCCCCCACUAAUGUUGCGAAUAAAAAGAACACAACAUUACCCCCCCCAUUUUACGGGUCAUGGCAAUCGCCAUGAUUGUACACGCGAAACUCGCAGCCAUCGAUCAGGAGCUCCUCCAGCUCCCCUGUAAAAGCAAAAAAAAAAAAAUACAUUAGUGAAGAAAAAAAAAGAAAAUAAUUAAUGUCUCUACUCCCAAUUAAUACUCCUCGACUAUUUUUUUCUUAUAAAUUUCCGUCAAGUCCAACCUUGUUUCAGUCUUCAUCAUUAGUCCAUUUCAUUUCUAUAAUUCUUUACUCCUCUUCGUGGACAUCAGGUAAUUCUUGUACAAAUUUCUCCGCUUUCCGGUAGUCAACGAAAAAUCUUCUUUCUUCGUUAUCCAGGAAAAUUAUCAAUUUUGCUGGGUAGCUCAAUAAAAAUUUAUAGCCCUUUUCCCAUAAAGGUUUUUUCACUGGAUUAAAUUCCUUCCGCCUCUUCAGAAGAUCGUAACUUAUGUCUGGAUAAAAAAAAACUCUUUCCCCUUCUAUUAUCAAUGGCCCAUUUCUCUUUUUAGCACCUUGAGUAGCUGCCUUCAAGAUCAUUUCUUUAUCUUGGUAACUUAAGCAUUUUAUCAAAAUUGAUCUUGGAUUUUGAUCUUGUUGAGGUCUUGGUCUUAAAGCUCUGUGUGCUCUUUCAAUUUCAAUUACUUGGCUUCCUUCUUUCAUUUCCAAAAUUUUUGGAAUCCAUUCUUGAAAGAAUUUUAUUGCAUUUUCUCCCUCUGUACCUUCCAUAAGACCAACAAUUUUGUUAUUAUUUCGUCUACUAGAGUUUUCAAGCACAUCUAUUUUUUUCAACAUCCGUUUUCUUUCUGUUGUCCAGGCAAGAUUAUCUUCUAUCUUAACUAUUCUUUCAGUGUUUUCUUCAACUUUUACUUCCAUCUCUUUAACUUUAUUAUCCAUCUUCUUUUGUUUUUCCACCACAUUAUCGAGUGUAUUCUGCAUCCUUCUUGUAUCUGUUCUUUUAGCUUUUAAUUCAUUCUUCAUAUAUAUCAGGGAUAUCUUUUAUGUCUCCUUUAAUCUCCUCUUUCUUUUCCUCUUCUUCUUCCUCUGAAUUUUCCAAAGAGUCUGAUUCCACUUCCGAUUCACUGCCAGUCGUCGUUGGGAUUUGUAGUUUUGUUAAUAUCUGUUCAUGCAUAUUUUCGCGCAUGCGUUGUUCUUGCCGUUUCUUCUUAGAGACUGCCGACAUUGCUGCAACUUCCUGUCCCGCAUCUUCAGAAGUGCCAUGCACUUCACCGGGAGUUGAUCCAACUUGAGUCCGAGGCUUCGCCGAGAUGGUUAGGCCUUUCUCCCCGCCGAUUUGCGCAGUCUUCGAAGUAGUAGCUUUCUUCUGUUUCAGUUUAGGAGCCAUAUCAAAAGAUAAUCCUGAGUUGCUUAUAAAUAGUUUCUAGUAGGUAUUUGUUAACACUUCUUCAUUUAAACCUUAUUUCAUUACUUUUUACGAGGGAGCUGGAUUCCCAACGUCUCGACCCUAUGUCAUCAUGUGACGCCCCAUGUGAAAAAAAUCUUGUCUAGGUACAGAAAUAGAACACCUAAUCUUCCCUAAAUUUAAACAUGACAUAACAUCAACCAAUAGGCAUGAGUAAGUGGAGCAGCAUCUUUCCAUUUAAGCAACAAAAUUCUUCUAGCUAAAAGAGAAAUAAAAGCCAAAAUAUGCAAAUCAUUCAGCGUAAAAGUAAAAUCAUUUCCUCCAACAAUGCCAAACAAGGCAGUCAGAGGGUUGGGUUUAAAGUUUACUUUAAACAGCUCCGAGAAAGUUUGAAAUACUUCUUUCCAAAAUUUAUCAAGCCGCAGGCAGGACCAAAGCAUAUGAAUUAGAGAGGCCUCUUCAACAUUACACCUAUUACAGUAUGGAGAAAAAUCUGAGUAAAAACGAGAGAGCUGAUCUUUGGUCAUAUAGACUCCAUGAACCACUUUAAAUUGUAAGAGAGUGAUGUGCACAUAAUGAAAAGGUGUGAACAAGUUAAAAAAUUUCAUUCCAAGUAUCCUCAUCAAUUGAAAUCUGUAGGUCUUGUUCCCAGAGUUUUUAAUUUUGUCUAACAGAAUGUUUCUCAUUGCGAACAUACUAUAAAUAUUAGAAAUAGAUCCAUUAUGAAAAGGUUUCAGAGUAAAAAUUGUAUCAAUUAGAUUCUUAUCUGGACAUUUAGGAAAUGUAUGAAGUUGAGAACACAAGAAGUCUCUAAUUUGUAAAUAUCUAAAAAAGUGAGCUUUACGAAGAUUAUAUUUAACAGAUAGUUGAUCAAAUGAGGGAAGAAUAUCUCCAACAAACAGAUCCAGAAAACAUUUAAUACCUCAUCUAUUCCACUCUUUAAAAACUACAUCAGUCAAAGAAGGUUUAAAAAAAAUUAGAAAAAAUGGGAGUAGAGUGAAAAACCAAAUAACCCAAAGAAUUUUGUAAAUUGUAAUCAAAUCUCAAAGAAUGUUUAACUACAUAAUUAUCAGUUAAAUUACUUAAGAAUAGAGGAAUUGAAGAACCAAGAAGAGAAAUAAUAGAAAAUUUAUUAACAGAAUGAACUUCUGCAGAAACUCAGGCCUGACAGUCUUCACGAAUAAUAUAACCAAAACGUAAGGUAGCGUAUAUUGACUGCCCAGUAGUAAAACCUAAAAUUAGGUAGUUUUCUGAAGAUGAACUGUUUAAUUGGGAGGUUUUAUUCUUCCUUAAAUAAGGAGAUAUAAUCGAGUCUAAAAGAGUCAAAAAAGGAUUUAGGAAUAAAAGCAGGCUCGAAGGGCCAAAUGGCCUACUCGUGCACCUAUUUUCUAUGUUUAAGCAGGUAGGACUUGAAAUAAAUAUAAAAGUUCAGGCAAAAUAUUCAUUUUAAUAUAAUCGCUGAAUAGUCCAAUCAGUGAUACAGAAGGGGAGACCAGUUUGACAGUACCUUCUUAACAUACUCCAGAAGAGGGAUAAAAGUUUUCUUUAAAAAGAGAUUUACAAUUCCUGGUAAUUGUUAUACCCAAAUAAGUAAAUUAAUUUCUUGCAAUUUUAAAAGGAAGGUCAGAGUUGACUGAUACCAAAUUAUUCAAAGGACGAAGUUCACUCUUAUGAAGAUUAUAUUUAUAUCCUUAGAACUGACUAAAUUCAGAAAGUAAAGAAAGUACUGAGGAUAGAGAGAACUCCACAUUAGAGAUGUACAGCAAAAGGUCAACAGCCUAAAUUGACAACUUAUGAGCAUUACCCCUCCUUAAAAUACCCGAGAUAUCAACGAAUUCAUGAAACGCUAAAGCUAAAGGCUCUAAAGCCAAAUCAAAAAGCAAAGGACUCAAAGGACAUCCUUGUCUGGCUCCACAUUGGAGACUAAACGGUUUGGAACUCUGAGAGUUAGUAAGAACCUGUGCAGUGGGAGAUAAAUAAUUUAAUCCAUUGAAUAAAAUUGGACCCAAUGUUAAAUUUUGCUAAUAUUUUAAUUAAAUAAUUCCAUUCAACCCGAUCAAAGGCUUUCUGAGCAUCUAAAGAAAUCACACACUCCGAAGUUUCUUUAGAAGGAGAAUAAAUAACAUUUAGUAAAUGACAAAUGUUAAAAUGAGAAUAACGAUUUUUGAUAAAUCUGGUCCGAUUGUCAGAGAUAAUAGAAGGCAGAAUGUUUUCCAUCCUAUGGGCCAAAAGUUUUGAUAAAAUUUUAGCAUCAACUUUAAGUAAAGAAAUAGGUCUGUAGGAAGAGCAGUCAAUUGGAUCUUUAUUCUUUUUGAGAAUAAGCAAAAUAGAGGUGUCAUAAAAGUAUUGUGGCAACCUGCCUAAUUUAAAAGAGUCAGAAAGAACAUAAAGUAAGUGAGGAAUAAGCAAAGGAGCAAAAGCCUUACAGAACACUCCAGAAAAUCCGUUAGGACCGGGAGCCUUCCCCGAACUCAGAGAAUGGACAACCCACACAAUUUCCUCAGAAGAAAAAGGUUUAUUUAACCAUUUUCAAUUAACCUCAAAAAGUGAGGGAAUAUUUAAAUGAUCUAGAAAGUUAUUCAUAGCAAAACUGAUUUCAGGGAAAUUGGAGCUAUACAGUUUAGAGUAAAAUUAUCUCCAAGUAUCAUUUAUUUCCAAUUGAUCAGAAGUUACAUCACCAUUCGCUUUAGAGAUUUCCUUAAUUUGAUGUUUAACUAUUAAAGUUUUAAGUUGAUUAGCCACAAGUUUGCCUGUUUUAUCACCAUAAAAAAUAAAAUUGACUUUUAUUUUUUUUAAAGUUGAGUUUCAACAGGGUAAGUUAAGAGCAGAUCAUAUUUCAUUUUAACUUCAACAUGUCUUUUAUAUAAGAUAGGAUCCAGAUCGGAAGCAUAUAUUUGAUCUAAAUGUUUCAGCUGAUUGGAUAAAUCAGUUCUCUCCUUAUUAGCUUUUUUCUUAAUACUUACUGUAUAGGAAAUAAUUUGGCCUCUAAUAUAAGCCUUGAAAGCAUCCCAAAUGAUAAGGCUAGAAGUGCCAUCUAGCAUAUUCUCUUCAAAGAAAUAAGUAAUUUGAUUCUCUAUAUAUUUUUUUAAAACUUUAUCCGAUGGUAAUAUUGGAUUAAAACACCAAAAUCUGUUUGAGAAACAUCCGGAAGAUUUAAAGAUAAAAAGACGGGGAUAUGAUCUGAAACAGCAAUUUCUUUAUAUUCACAGGAUCGAACAUAUGGUAUCAAAUGAAUAUGGCCAAAAAAAUAAUCAAUCCUGGAAUAGGUAUGAUGAACAAGAGAAAAAAAGGAAUAUUCUCUACUUGUUGGAUGUAAAAAACGCCAAACAUCAAUAAUGUCACAUUUCAUUAGAAAAGAUUGAAUACAGGAGGCAGAUCUACUAAUCAUCAAACGUUUUCAAAGAUGAAUGGUCUAAAACAGGGUUAAGACAGCAAUUAAAGUCACCUCCACUAGACUCUUGAGUGUUUUGUGCAUUGACUUGCUUCAUGAUAAGUUGUCCAGAAAUUCAAUAAAUUCAAUUCAAUUAAACUUACAAAAAAAAA